GACGAACGCUGGCGGCGUGCUUAACACAUGCAAGUCGAACGGUAAGGCCCUUCGGGGUACACGAGUGGCGAACGGGUGAGUAACACGUGGGUGAUCUGCCCUGCACUUCGGGAUAAGCCUGGGAAACUGGGUCUAAUACCGGAUAGGACCCUGGGAUGCAUGUCCUGGGGUGGAAAGCUUUUGCGGUGUGGGAUGGGCCCGCGGCCCAUUAGCUUGUUGGUGGGGUAACGGCCUACCAAGGCGACGAUGGGUAGCUGUUCUGAGAGGAAGAUCAGCCACACUGGGACUGAGACACGGCCCAGACUCCUACGGGAGGCAGCAGUGGGGAAUCUUGCGCAAUGCGCGAAAGCGUGACGCAGCAACGCCGCGUGCGGGAAGACGGCCUUCGGGUUGUAAACCGCUUUCAGUUGGGACGAAGCUUCGCCGGUGAAUAGCCGGCCGGAGUGACGGUACCUUCAGAAGAAGCCCCGGCUAACUACGUGCCAGCAGCCGCCGUAA
RNAcentral lists this ribosomal RNA (498 nucleotides) under uncultured bacterium. RNAcentral's name for it is "partial 16S ribosomal RNA". It matches the Rfam family "Bacterial small subunit ribosomal RNA", at positions 28 to 523 of the family's 1533-position model. The record is from RNAcentral.